CACAAGCAGUGGAGUAUGUGGUUUAAUUCGAAGCAACGCGAAGAACCUUACCAGGGACUUGACAUCCCUUGAAGCAGCUAGAGAUAGCUGUGUCCUUCGGGACAAGGAGACAGGUGGUGCAUGGUUGUCGUCAGCUCGUGUCGUGAGAUGUUGGGUUAAGUCCCGCAACGAGCGCAACCCCUGUGGUUAGUUGCCAGCAAGUAGCGUUGGGCACUCUAGCCAGACUGCCGGUGAUAAAUCGGAGGAAGGUGGGGACGACGUCAAAUCAUCAUGCCCUUUAUGUCCUGGGCUACACACGUACUACAAUGGCCGUUACAACGGGAAGCGAAGGAGCAAUCCGGAGCAAAUCCCUUAAAGGCGGUCCCAGUUCAGAUUGUGGGCUGAAACUCGCCCACAUGAAGGCGGAAUUGCUAGUAAUUGCAGAUCAGCAUGCUGCAGUGAAUACGUUCCCGGGCCUU
Molecule: ribosomal RNA, 458 nt
Filed under: uncultured bacterium
Lineage: Bacteria
Description: bacterial SSU rRNA
Rfam family: Bacterial small subunit ribosomal RNA
Source: RNAcentral